Molecule: ribosomal RNA, 253 nt
Filed under: uncultured bacterium
Lineage: Bacteria
Description: partial 16S ribosomal RNA
Rfam family: Bacterial small subunit ribosomal RNA
Source: RNAcentral
UACGUAGGGUGCGAGCGUUGUCCGGAAUUAUUGGGCGUAAAGAGCUUGUAGGCGGUCUGUCGCGUCUGCUGUGAAAUCCCGAGGCUCAACCUCGGGUCUGCAGUGGGUACGGGCAGACUGGAGUGCGGUAGGGGAGAAUGGAAUUCCUGGUGUAGCGGUGGAAUGCGCAGAUAUCAGGAGGAACACCGAUGGCGAAGGCGGGACUCUGGGCCGAUACUGACACUGAGGCACGAAAGUGUGGGGAUCAAACAGG